CCUACGGGAGGCAGCAGUGAGGAAUAUUGGUCAAUGGGCGCGAGCCUGAACCAGCCAAGUAGCGUGAAGGAUGACUGCCCUACGGGUUGUAAACUUCUUUUAUAAAGGAAUAAAGUGAGGCACGUGUGCCUUUUUGUAUGUACUUUAUGAAUAAGGAUCGGCUAACUCCGUGCCAGCAGCCGCGGUAAUACGGAGGAUCCGAGCGUUAUCCGGAUUUAUUGGGUUUAAAGGGAGCGUAGGCGGCCUUUUAAGUCAGCGGUGAAAGUCUGUGGCUCAACCAUAGAAUUGCCGUUGAAACUGGGAGGCUUGAGUACAGUUGAGGUAGGCGGAAUUCGUGGUGUAGCGGUGAAAUGCUUAGAUAUCACGAAGAACUCCGAUUGCGAAGGCAGCUUACUAAACUGCCACUGACAUUGAUGCUCGAAAGUGUGGGUAUCAAACAGGAUUAGAUACCCGGGUAGUC
RNAcentral lists this ribosomal RNA (460 nucleotides) under uncultured bacterium. RNAcentral describes it as "partial 16S ribosomal RNA". It matches the Rfam family "Bacterial small subunit ribosomal RNA", at positions 338 to 795 of the family's 1533-position model. The record is from RNAcentral.